Molecule: ribosomal RNA, 336 nt
Filed under: Triticum aestivum (bread wheat)
Lineage: Eukaryota; Viridiplantae; Streptophyta; Magnoliopsida; Poales; Poaceae
Description: partial small subunit ribosomal RNA
Source: RNAcentral
AUGGAAACUAAUCCUUUGAGGGGCGUGUUCGGGGCAUCUUCUCCCCGACCAGUAGAGCAAAGAGUUGCUCCUCAACCUACUGAACCUACUAAAAAUGUUUACUUUGAGAUUCCUUCGGGUAUGAUAGGAAAACUGCUAGAUAAUCCCUUUGCAGGAGAUGGAACAUUGCAUCCCGAUUUACACCUUAUCUAUGUGGAUGAAGUUUGUGGAUUAUUUAAGCUUGCAGGUAUACCCGAUGAUUUUGUUAAGAGGAAGGUCUUCCCUUUAUCUUUGAAGGGAGAUGCGUUGACAUGGUAUUGGCUAUGUGAUGAUAUGGGAUCUUGGGACUAUAAAUGA